AUCCUUUUGUAGGUCAUAAGUCUGAUGCAUGGGUGUUCACGUGAAUGUUGCGCCUCCCUCAAACCUUGUUUUAACAGCCAUUUUCUAUUGAUU
Molecule: small nucleolar RNA, 93 nt
Organism: Callithrix jacchus (white-tufted-ear marmoset)
Lineage: Eukaryota; Metazoa; Chordata; Mammalia; Primates; Cebidae
Source: Ensembl